Molecule: transfer RNA, 73 nt
Filed under: Vibrio alginolyticus
Lineage: Bacteria; Pseudomonadati; Pseudomonadota; Gammaproteobacteria; Vibrionales; Vibrionaceae
Description: tRNA-Met
Rfam family: tRNA
About the family: Transfer RNA (tRNA) molecules are approximately 80 nucleotides in length. Their secondary structure includes four short double-helical elements and three loops (D, anti-codon, and T loops).
Source: RNAcentral
GCGGGGUGGAGCAGCUUGGUAGCUCGUCGGGCUCAUAACCCGAAGGUCGUCGGUUCAAAUCCGGCCCCCCGCA